UUCGCAAUGCCCGAAAGGGUGACGAAGCGACGCCGCGUGGGUGAGGAAGGCCCUCGGGUUGUAAAGCCCUGUCAGGAGUUAAGAAAUGUAAGUGCGCUAAUAUCGCAUUUAUUUGACAAAGGCCCCAAAGGAAGCCACGGCUAACUCUGUGCCAGCAGCCGCGGUAAUACAGAGGUGGCAAGCGUUGUUCGGAAUUAUUGGGCGUAAAGAGCACGUAGGUGGGUUUGUAAGUCAGAUGUGAAAGCCUUCUGUUCAACGGAAGAAUUGCAUCUGAAACUGCGAGUCUUGAGUGUAGGAGGGGAGAAUGGAACUUCUGGUGGAGCGGUGAAAUGCGUAGAUAUCAGAAGGAACGCCGGCGGCGAAAGCGAUUCUCUGGCCUAUUACUGACACUCAGUGUGCGAAAGCUAGGGGAGCAAACGGGAUUAGAUACCCCGGUAGUCCUAGCCGUAAACGAUGGGCACUAAGUAGAGGGGUUUU
Molecule: ribosomal RNA, 477 nt
Filed under: Candidatus Scalindua brodae
Lineage: Bacteria; Pseudomonadati; Planctomycetota; Candidatus Brocadiia; Candidatus Brocadiales; Candidatus Scalinduaceae
Description: bacterial SSU rRNA
Rfam family: Bacterial small subunit ribosomal RNA
Source: RNAcentral